AUUAAGUCAUUAAUUGAACUGAAAGGGCAGAGCAUCGGUUUCAUUUUUCUUUGCAAAGUGUUCUUGAAAUUGAUAUAUUUUUUUUAACUCAUUAAGCUUUCAAUUUCUACCUACCACUAAGGCUAUGCCUGGUAACCCAAAAAAAGAAAAGAAAAUAGUAUAAAAGAUAUGAUAAGACAAAAGUUAUAAUUACAUUAUGAUUUUUUUAUGUGUCUAUCCUUCUUGUUUUGAGUUGUUUAUUUCCUCCUCAAUCCAUUUUUCAGGCUUGGUCUAGGUUCAGGUAGGAGCUCGUUAGCGAAUAAAAUCAUUUUCUUAGGUAGAUAGUCUAAUCUACGAUCAAUCUACUCCUUUAUCAUCGGCUUUUUGAAGUGGUGGAAAAUCCGGUACUGAAAAUCCUAGAGGAGAUUCAAGAGAAGUAGGAGUGGAGAGUAGGGGUUGACAUUCGACUAUUUGCUUAUCUGCUUGGGCUAUCCCUUCUCGACAAGCGAAGGGUCCAAAGCACUAUCAUUAUAUUGAGAAGGGUAAUUCGGGCUAUAAUGCGGACUGAUAAUUUGAUACUUUGACCGUUGGAUGGAUAGGAAAUCCCUAAAGUCAUCUACUCAAUUUGAUGAUUCAUCUUAAUCAUACGGUAUACAUUUAUAUCUGCAUUUUCCCUUUUUUUUCAACUGUCAUUGUUCUUGAAAUCUCUCAACUUACAUUGACAUGUGUUGAAAUAUUAUUUUAGAUGAAUGAAAAAUGCAUUAAAAGGAUAAAUAAUUACAAGAUUACCGGACAAAAGCUAGAAAAGCAAAUGAUGAAAAAAGUGAAAAACAUUGGUGGAGCUAAUUACAAUAAAUGAUCUGCAAAACCCAUGAUGAUACAGAUUGUUCUCAAAUAUUCAGGCAAGAAGCAUGAGCGGGGUUAAUCUUGGUUUUAAUUUCAAUGUCUAUGGAGCUUUAGGAGGUUUUCUUGAAAGUAGCUACCCUUGAAAUAAUGCAUAAUAGCACAUUGAUUGAGCAUCUCUGCAUCGAAACUGAAUGGGGAUAGGGGAAUGUUCUGCCUACUUAGAGGGAAGCACCCACUUAAAUCUCGUCCCAAGAAUGAGAUGUCUCAAGAAAGAGAUGUGUUAGUCCAUUUAUACUUAAUCUUUCCCCACCAUACAUGGUAGAAAGUGGCACAAAAAAUGGCAUCUUAACCACAAUAUUACAAAUUGAAUUCUUUUCGAACAACAUUAAAUACAGUGUUUCAUAUGUUGGAACAUUUUUUUUUUUUUUUUUUCUGAAUGGAGAAUAACUCCCCCACCCGCUCUUGAAAAGAAAUUCUUAUUUAGUCAUAUUGCAUAUAAUAUAUAAUUUGUACUUGUUUGGAUAUAUAUAUAUAUAUAUAUAUUAUUUUAUUCAAAGAGUUGAGAACAGAUAGAUAUUGCCCAUAUGAAGUACGUAAGUAUGGGCAAAAGAGUGAACAGAUGCAUUAGUAAUGCUAAAUCAUAGAAGUGCCAUCGAAAAUUCUACAGUUUUAGAGGAAGUCAUGUGACUACUAUAUAACUUUAGGGCGACGAGUGGGCAUGCGGCUUGCUUUAAACAUGUUGGUGGCCUGAACCAAUGGAUGGGUGACACAUAAAGGAAAUGAUGGUCCUUUCCAAUUAUGGGAUGAGAGAGAGAUUGACACAACCCAAAAUUUCUCAUUAUUUAAUCGUUCACAAUAUUGAAGACCAAAGUGGCCGAAUGAAAGCAAUGUCCAGCUUUCUUUGUUCACUUACCCUUUAUAUAACACAUGUUGGAUUGUGUUUCCAACAUGUAUCUUUAUUUAUUUCACGUUAUCAUGUCUUUCUCUAUUUCUCCUGUAGUCUAUAAGACAACACAUAAAGGAACUAGUGUACACUGGUCAUCUUGGCAAAUUUUUUUUUUUUCUCUCAACAUAUAUUUAUGGGAAAAUGGUUUUGUCCCUUAGCUCCGGCACCAGCCCACUUUAUCUAUAUCUCUCUUCUUGUCCCAAUUAAUGACCUUCCUGCCCCUAUGGAGAAAACUGGCACCAGCUCCUUUUGUCUCUCUCUCUUCUUGUACCUUUUAAUGACUUUCCUGCCCCUAUGGAGAAAACUGAUUUGACUCUAACGCAGGUGUGGGAGUCAGUUUGUCGGCCUCAGUCCCCUGUAGCUGAGGGUAGAUGAGAAAAUAGGAAAUUCCAUCCAAUACUCUUCACAAUCACGCGAGCACUUCUAACCCCUAAGAGAGGGAGAGAUGAGACACAAACACAGCCACACGAUUCAACAAUAUAUAAUAAUCUCAGGAUUUUUUUUUUUGGUUUAAUCUCAGAAUCUAUCAAUUAUUCCUAUAAAUCAGGGCCCUCGCCGCUCUUUCUUGGAAUAUGCCUCUUCAGUUCUCCUACUACUGCAAUAGUUAUCUCUUCUCCCCCCCCCCCUCUCUUUUUCCUCUUCUUUCUACUUUUGUUGCAGUCAGAUGCUUUUGUUUGCUCCAUAAUCCAAAAGAAGACAGGUUCUGUUCGACAUGGCCGGUGAGUGAUUUCCAUGUUAUCUCUUGUCAAUUAUACAGUCUUCUGCAGAUCCACCUCUAUUUCAUUGUCUGUUCGACCUUGAACCUACAUACAUACAUCUUAAAAUACUUAACAAACCCUAAUCUCAAUUAUCUAUAAAAGAUGAUCAAAUCAAACCUUCUAGUUAAUUUCAUGUGUGUUUCUGUCAGUCUUUGUUUAUCUUAAUCUUUAUGUCCUCUUUUUAUGUUUCUGUGAGUCUUUGUUUAUCUGGGCUCGAGUUUAUCUGAAUCUUCACUAACUGAUAAGGGAAACAAAGAUGAGAAGAUCUGGGCUCAAGUUUAUCUGAAUCUUCACUAACUGGUGCAAGUUGUGUUAGGAAUAAUAGGAAGUGCUUCAUUGCUUUACACAAAACAGUAUUGUGGUUUUUGGAUUUGUAGCUUUCAUCUAGCUUCUUCCCUUAAUCCAGGCGGUUAUGGUGGUGGUUCUCAUAAUGAUUCUGAUUCAAUUCGAUUACAAGCCAAGAGCCAACGCUCCCCUAGUACUGUUCAUUAGACAAGGGUUUGCAUUAUUGAAUCUAAUGCGUGUGAGCUGCAUUGCCUUAUCUUUUCUUUCCUUAAACUAAGUUAGAUUUUUGUUGCCUUGUAUAUCUCUCUCGAGUCUCAACUACAAGUCAUAGCAUAAAUAUAUGUUUCAGCCACUCAAUGGUUGUAGUGAGUGAGCCAAUACAUGAAAUAUUCUCAAUUAGGGUUUCUGGGCUCUACAUAUGGAAUUAGAGCUUUGAAAGCCAACAGUACUGAUACCACUGACACUCUUGCUUGACUGAUGGUAACAUCUCUUUUCCCCCCCUUUGUUUUUUUUUUCAAACUUAUCACUGCAUCUCUCUUAAACUCACCUCAAAAAAUUCUCUUUUAGCAUGAUGGAUGGAGAGGAGACCUUAUGGCAAUAAGGAUGAACAUUGCAAUUGGGGAAGAAGACAUAGAGGCUAGGCUUAGAGAGUUAACAUUAGUGAUUAUAUAUGAUAUAAAUUGAGUGAUAAUUAUAUAUAAUCUCUAAUUUGAGUGAGAUUUUUGUUACAUUAUGAAAUAGAGAAAGCAACAAACAACAAAACAAGAAGUGUAUGGAUUUAGUGAAAGAGUAUUGAGUGGAAACAAACAGAAGAGUCCAGCAUAAAAGGGUAUUGUUUUUUUUUUUUUUUUUAAUGGAUAAUUUGUAUGUAUUUAGGAUACCAUUACAAUCAUCUUGGGGCAAACCAAAAGAAAGGAGGAGAUGUCCCUAAAUCAAGCAAGACAAACCAUGUACACAAAAAUGUACGACUUAUGAGGGAAUUCUCCCUUUAAACGUUCAUGGCAGACGAUGGACUUGGGACCAUCUUUGAGAGAUACUGUUCAUUGAGCAAAAAGGUCAUCCUUAUUGGUCCCCCCAGGUCUCAACCCUCCUAUUGCUUUCAUCCGAUUAAGGAAACCACAAGAAAUGCAAUUUAAAGCCUAGUCUUCACAUCCUUCCUCAGGUACCACUAUUCAACAAAAGACAAACUAUACUAACUGUUGGGGGGGGGGGGGGAGAGAAAACCCAAAAAACUGUCUGGAUAAUGAACUACAUUAGAAUAUUACUUAAAACAGUUGCAGUAGAGUUAUAUAAAGCUCAGUUUAUUAAUAAGAAGGUGAUGUCUCUUAGCUUGAAUCUCUCUGCACAUUUUUGUAAGAAAAAAGCUGCCAGAUCUUUAAGAUACUCUCUUUACAUAUAUGCAUCUCUUUCUUGACAGAUCUUCUCACUAGUUAGUGUUCUUAAAAGAGAUGGAUUUUGAGCUAUGAGUCAGAGGAAGUAACUUGAAGUCGGUCGUUUAGCAAAAACAAAAAAGUCAUGAAGUAGGUAAAGUGAAUCAAGGGGUGUGUACAUGCCUACCUAUCCCCUCCAUCCACCCCCAGAUCCACACAAUCCCAACCACUAUUAUUGUUCUUAAACAUCCAAAUGACCAAAAAUGCCAUAACAUUUUUUUUUGUUUUUUUUGUUUUUUUUUUGGUAAAAGACCAAAAAAUGGCAUAACAUGAUGACUUGUGGGGAAACAUUUUGAUCACUAAAGAUAGUGACAAUUGACAACAAAAGAUUCUGACAUAAAAGGAAUAUUACUUAAAACAGUUGCAGUAGAGUUAUAUAAAUCUCAGUUUAUUACUAAGAAGGUGAUGUCUCUUAGCUUGAAUUUCUCUGCACAUUUUUGUAAGAAAAAAGCUGCCAGAUCUUUAAGAUACUCUCUUUACAUAUAUGCAUCUCUUUCUUGACAGAUCUUCUGACUAGUUAGUGUUCUUAAAAGAGAUGGAUUUUGAGCUAUGAGUAAGAGGAAGUAACUUGAAGUAGGUUGUUUAGCAAAAACAAAAAUAUCAUGAAGUAGGUCAAGUGAAUCAAGGGGUGUGUACAUUCCUACCUACCCCCUCCAUCCACCCCCAGAUCCACACAAUCCCAACCACUAUUAUUGUUCUUAAAUAUCCAAAUGACCAAAAAUGCCAUAACAUUUUUUUGUGUUUUUUUGUUUUUUGGUAAAAGAACAAAAAAUGCCAUAUCAUGAUGACUUGUAGGGAAACAUUUUGAUCACUAAAGACAGUGACAAUUGACGACAAACGAUUCUGACAUAAAAGGAAUAGAGUCUAGAUAUUCUGUGUGAGAGAGAGAGAGAGAUUUCCUCCCAUCAUCAUACUAGUAAAAAAAUUAUAAUCUAAAUAGAUAUCUUUCUUUUCAUUCAUUCCAGUUGUGAGAUUCCACUUUAGUGGAUAAAAACUGUUCAAAUAGAAAUUCUCUUUGGAACUAGAAAAAAUAAGAUUGCAGAAACCUUUGCCUCUAUUAUAUUCUUGUAUCGGCUGUUUAAAAUUUUAAUGCUCUUUUAGAGAGUAUUUGCUUGUAAAUCGUAAACAAUAAAAACGAUUGAAAUUAGAAGAAAUGUGGAUACUUACCUGAAUUCAACAAAAAAUGGUUAAAUUUGCAGAAUCUCAUGAAAAUAGUUUUCAUAUCAGAGAUGUUUGUGUGCAAAAUUGUUAUCAUGAACCCUGCAAUGGCAGGAGCCUUGUGUAUUAGGUAUGUCCUUGAUAGUUUUAUAAAAAUUACGGUAAUUAGAAAAUUUAGAAUAUUGAAAAAAAAAAAAAAAAAGGGGGAUUCAUAUAAUAAGUCAAAUUAGCUCAUAUCAAUUGUUUAAGGUCGGAUGGACAAUGAACUUGAGGUAUUAGCAAGGACUGUGUACUUAUCAAGGCUUUGCAUGGACAUCAACAACACCAUUUUACCCAAAUCACACAAAUAUAUGGUGCUACAGAUGGCAUCAAAGGAUGAUAAAAUAGUUUUACUUUGAUUGAGGUCUUGAACAUUUCAGGUAAAUUCCUUCCACUCCUGUUUUUGAUUUGAUUACUUACAUUACAUCCUUCAGUUAAUGGUUUCAUAUAGUUUGUUUAUGAAUGCAGAGGCUAGUGAUGAUCAGUAUCAUCCUGCAUUACCUGUUGUGAUCUUCUACCAAUUUAUCUUUGGCAAAGACCAAAGACCGAUGACUGAUACCGUAGAAAGAAGUGUUAAUUUCAAAGCUGAAAAACAAACCUCAAUUGAAAAGGAAGGUUCUAACUCAACUCAUAUUACUCAACUAAAAUUUAAUUAUUAUUUUUGUUAAUUGCAAGCUGCUUAUGUUUAUGAAUGUUUAAUUUGAAGGGAGCUAACACUUUAGAGCAACUCAAGGAAUACUCGGUGAUUCUGACCUAGGGAUUUUAUGAUGUAAAUUUCAAUGGCUAAGAGUUUGUGAUGUAAAUUUCAAUGGCUAAGAGUUUGUUUGGUUUGCCAAAAAAAAAAAAAAAAAUUAACAAUCCCUCUCUCUCUCUCUCAUAUCUAUUUCUUACAUUAUAGGAGUGAUAGAGUGUUGGGACUACUUGAUGGGAGAGGUAUAAGUGUUGAGGUUGUCUUUCAGUAACUUUUGUACUCAAUCAGAGAGUUAUUUCCAUCGAUGCAAUAUCAAGGUUCGUUUUCGUCAAA
This is a long non-coding RNA of Macadamia integrifolia, 6465 nucleotides long. RefSeq lists it as uncharacterized. Lineage: Eukaryota; Viridiplantae; Streptophyta; Magnoliopsida; Proteales; Proteaceae. The transcript is spliced from 2 exons. The record is from RefSeq and is a predicted model, not a curated record.